UUCAACCUGCCAUAGGAUUCGGAAAAGGAUACAUGUACGGGUUAGGGUACAUAUAAGGGCUAGGAAACAUACCUGGCAUCAUAGGGAAAGGUGAAUGCGUGGGUAUCAUCUGUUGAAUUGCUGCGCCAGGUGACUGCGUCGGUGCUCUCGUUGGGGACGGUGAUUGCAUGGUCGCUGAUGAUGAAUCGGGUGAAUGUCUG
Molecule: long non-coding RNA, 200 nt
Filed under: Gossypium barbadense (sea-island cotton)
Lineage: Eukaryota; Viridiplantae; Streptophyta; Magnoliopsida; Malvales; Malvaceae
Description: long non-coding RNA (GBAR_LNC016452)
Source: RNAcentral